UUAAAGUAUCACUCUAACACCAUAACCAUUACAGUGCACUGUAGUGGUUAUGGUGCUUGGUGUGUUCCCUUAA
Pelobates cultripes (western spadefoot toad) is the source of this 73-nucleotide non-coding RNA. The record is from the annotation of a GenBank genome assembly. Lineage: Eukaryota; Metazoa; Chordata; Amphibia; Anura; Pelobatidae.